This 1326-nucleotide ribosomal RNA is filed under the name Triticum aestivum (bread wheat). Its description in RNAcentral is "partial small subunit ribosomal RNA". The record is from RNAcentral. Lineage: Eukaryota; Viridiplantae; Streptophyta; Magnoliopsida; Poales; Poaceae.
AAACGCAUCCUUAAAGGUUCCUCAAACCAUCCCCCAAAUAUUUCCUACCAGCAAUGGAUCACACCGGGGAGCACCUCGACCCCGCAGCCUCGGCGUCCGCGUCCGCGCCCGCAUCCGUCGCGGAGGUCAACGCGUGGCUGGCUUCCCUGGCAGCGGAGGGCGGCGGAGUGGGAGGGCGCGGCGGUGGGGCGGUGGUCUCCGAGCUAUCGCUGGGCCCCGACCCCACGCCGCGCGGGGUAUCCUAUCUCCGCGCGCUCGCGGCGGCGUCGCAGGCGCGGUCCCACGCAGCCGGGAUCGCUGCUUCGGGGCUGCGCGCGCAGGCCGCGGAGUAUCAGGCGGAGGCAGCGCGCUUGCGGGAGGCGCUGGAGCGGGCCGGCCUUGCGCGGGACGCGCUCCCUCCGCCUGCUGCGUCGGCCGCGCGCGCCGUCGCCGCUGUCGCGAACCUCCUGGCCAUCCGCGACACCGAGAUGAGCAGCUUCGUGGUGGCCAGUGCAGAUUUAUGGCUGAGGAGAGCAGAGGUGGAGGAGAAGAGGGACAAAGUGCAUAAAGAGUCAAAGGCACUUCUUGAUUACACAAGGAAGGCCAUCACCAAGCUUACCGAGCUCAAGAGGAUGCUGGAGAAAUUUAAAAAUGAUGUGGAGAAGCAACAAGUGGAGCAAACGGCAGACUGGCAGACAAAAUUGGUCAUGAUGGACUCGAAGGAGCGGCAAUAUAUCCUCCAAGUCUCAAAUUACAAGGCAAUGCUCAACAGAGUUGGAUACACGCCAGAAAUUAAUCAUUGUGUGUUGAUGGAAAUGGCGGAGCAUAAGAAGGAUCUUGAGAGGAAAACUAAACCCAUUGCCGACACAUUGCGUAGCUACCAGGAUUUGCCUCCAGAUAAAGCUCUCGCUGCGUUAGCUAUAGAGGACAAAAAGAGGCAGUAUGCAGCUGCAGAGAAGUACCUUGAAGAUGUGUUGCAAUCUGCUUUAACAACACCUGGUCUAUGAUGUGGGUUUAACUAAAUGUAAAGUUCUAUUCGGGUGUCUAAUGUCUUAGCAUGCAUUGAUAGUGUAAUAGUCAUUCAUUUUGUUGGAAGUUGUGACAUCGUUAUGUAUUCUUGUAAAAUCCAUAUUCUAGUGUUGUCCCAACUACGGCUAAUUUUCAUCAUCGAAACUAAAUUUUACGAGAGACAAUAGACACUUCCCCAGGGCAGUUUGACCUGUUGUAUUCUUGUUUUGUAUAAACACUUGUGAUUUUGGAUGGGCAUGAUAUUUGUAUAUUCUGUGAAAUGUGAUAAUCUACUGGAUUGAUAAAUAAUAACACGGUAUGCAUGAUCAUGUUUCGGUU